GACGAACGCUGGCGGCGUGCUUAACACAUGCAAGUCGAACGGAAAGGCCCUGCUUUUGUGGGGUGCUCGAGUGGCGAACGGGUGAGUAACACGUGAGUAACCUGCCCUUGACUUUGGGAUAACUUCAGGAAACUGGGGCUAAUACCGGAUAGGAGCUCCUGCUGCAUGGUGGGGGUUGGAAAGUUUCGGCGGUUGGGGAUGGACUCGCGGCUUAUCAGCUUGUUGGUGGGGUAGUGGCUUACCAAGGCUUUGACGGGUAGCCGGCCUGAGAGGGUGACCGGCCACAUUGGGACUGAGGUACGGCCCAGACUCCUACGGGAGGCAGCAGUGGGGAAUAUUGCGCAAUGGGCGGAAGCCUGAUGCAGCAACGCCGCGUGCGUGAUGACGGCCUUCGGGUUGUAAACCGCUUUCGCCGGUGACGAAGCGUGAGUGACGGUAAUGGGUAAAGAAGCACCGGCUAACUACGUG
RNAcentral lists this ribosomal RNA (468 nucleotides) under uncultured bacterium. Its description in RNAcentral is "partial 16S ribosomal RNA". It matches the Rfam family "Bacterial small subunit ribosomal RNA", at positions 28 to 507 of the family's 1533-position model. The record is from RNAcentral.